RNAcentral lists this ribosomal RNA (250 nucleotides) under uncultured prokaryote. Its description in RNAcentral is "partial 16S ribosomal RNA". It matches the Rfam family "Bacterial small subunit ribosomal RNA", at positions 524 to 773 of the family's 1533-position model. The record is from RNAcentral.
UACGUAGGGGGCAAGCGUUAUCCGGAUUUACUGGGUGUAAAGGGAGCGCAGGCGGAAGGCUAAGUCUGAUGUGAAAACCCGGGGCUCAACUCCGGGACUGCAUUGGAAACUGGUCAUCUUGAGUGUCGGAGGGGUAAGUGGAAUUCCUAGUGUAGCGGUGAAAUGCAUAGAUAUUAGGAGGAACACCAGUGGCGAAGGCGGCUUACUGGACGACAACUGACGCUGAGGCUCGAAAGCGUGGGGAGCAAAC